GGUGGCUCAGCAGUAGAGCGCUUGCCUCGCAUGCAGGAGACCAUAGGUUCGAUUCCUCAGCACCA
RNAcentral lists this transfer RNA (65 nucleotides) under Dipodomys ordii (Ord's kangaroo rat). It matches the Rfam family "tRNA". Rfam says of the family: Transfer RNA (tRNA) molecules are approximately 80 nucleotides in length. Their secondary structure includes four short double-helical elements and three loops (D, anti-codon, and T loops). Further hydrogen bonds mediate the characteristic L-shaped molecular structure. tRNAs have two regions of fundamental functional importance: the anti-codon, which is responsible for specific mRNA codon recognition, and the 3' end, to which the tRNAs corresponding amino acid is attached (by aminoacyl-tRNA synthetases). tRNAs cope with the degeneracy of the genetic code in two manners: having more than one tRNA (with a specific anti-codon) for a particular amino acid; and 'wobble' base-pairing, i.e. permitting non-standard base-pairing at the 3rd anti-codon position. Lineage: Eukaryota; Metazoa; Chordata; Mammalia; Rodentia; Heteromyidae. The record is from Rfam by way of RNAcentral.